Molecule: microRNA, 23 nt
Filed under: Blattella germanica (German cockroach)
Lineage: Eukaryota; Metazoa; Arthropoda; Insecta; Blattodea; Blattellidae
Description: Bge-Mir-153-P17_5p (mature (guide))
Source: RNAcentral
UCAUUUUUGCAAUUACAGCAAUU